UUAAGCGACUAAGCGUACACGGUGGAUGCCCUGGCAGUCAGAGGCGAUGAAGGACGUGCUAAUCUGCGAUAAGCGUCGGUAAGGUGAUAUGAACCGUUAUAACCGGCGAUUUCCGAAUGGGGAAACCCAGUGUGUUUCGACACACUAUCAUUAACUGAAUCCAUAGGUUAAUGAGGCGAACCGGGGGAACUGAAACAUCUAAGUACCCCGAGGAAAAGAAAUCAACCGAGAUUCCCCCAGUAGCGGCGAGCGAACGGGGAGCAGCCCAGAGCCUGAAUCAGUAUGUGUGUUAGUGGAAGCGUCUGGAAAGGCGCGCGAUACAGGGUGACAGCCCCGUACACAAAAAUGCACAUAUUGUGAGCUCGAUGAGUAGGGCGGGACACGUGGUAUCCUGUCUGAAUAUGGGGGGACCAUCCUCCAAGGCUAAAUACUCCUGACUGACCGAUAGUGAACCAGUACCGUGAGGGAAAGGCGAAAAGAACCCCGGCGAGGGGAGUGAAAAAGAACCUGAAACCGUGUACGUACAAGCAGUGGGAGCACGCUUAGGCGUGUGACUGCGUACCUUUUGUAUAAUGGGUCAGCGACUUAUAUUCUGUAGCAAGGUUAACCGAAUAGGGGAGCCGAAGGGAAACCGAGUCUUAACUGGGCGUUAAGUUGCAGGGUAUAGACCCGAAACCCGGUGAUCUAGCCAUGGGCAGGUUGAAGGUUGGGUAACACUAACUGGAGGACCGAACCGACUAAUGUUGAAAAAUUAGCGGAUGACUUGUGGCUGGGGGUGAAAGGCCAAUCAAACCGGGAGAUAGCUGGUUCUCCCCGAAAGCUAUUUAGGUAGCGCCUCGUGAAUUCAUCUCCGGGGGUAGAGCACUGUUUCGGCAAGGGGGUCAUCCCGACUUACCAACCCGAUGCAAACUGCGAAUACCGGAGAAUGUUAUCACGGGAGACACACGGCGGGUGCUAACGUCCGUCGUGAAGAGGGAAACAACCCAGACCGCCAGCUAAGGUCCCAAAGUCAUGGUUAAGUGGGAAACGAUGUGGGAAGGCCCAGACAGCCAGGAUGUUGGCUUAGAAGCAGCCAUCAUUUAAAGAAAGCGUAAUAGCUCACUGGUCGAGUCGGCCUGCGCGGAAGAUGUAACGGGGCUAAACCAUGCACCGAAGCUGCGGCAGCGACGCUUAUGCGUUGUUGGGUAGGGGAGCGUUCUGUAAGCCUGUGAAGGUGUGCUGUGAGGUAUGCUGGAGGUAUCAGAAGUGCGAAUGCUGACAUAAGUAACGAUAAAGCGGGUGAAAAGCCCGCUCGCCGGAAGACCAAGGGUUCCUGUCCAACGUUAAUCGGGGCAGGGUGAGUCGACCCCUAAGGCGAGGCCGAAAGGCGUAGUCGAUGGGAAACAGGUUAAUAUUCCUGUACUUGGUGUUACUGCGAAGGGGGGACGGAGAAGGCUAUGUUGGCCGGGCGACGGUUGUCCCGGUUUAAGCGUGUAGGCUGGUUUUCCAGGCAAAUCCGGAAAAUCAAGGCUGAGGCGUGAUGACGAGGCACUACGGUGCUGAAGCAACAAAUGCCCUGCUUCCAGGAAAAGCCUCUAAGCAUCAGGUAACAUCAAAUCGUACCCCAAACCGACACAGGUGGUCAGGUAGAGAAUACCAAGGCGCUUGAGAGAACUCGGGUGAAGGAACUAGGCAAAAUGGUGCCGUAACUUCGGGAGAAGGCACGCUGAUAUGUAGGUGAAGCGACUUGCUCGUGGAGCUGAAAUCAGUCGAAGAUACCAGCUGGCUGCAACUGUUUAUUAAAAACACAGCACUGUGCAAACACGAAAGUGGACGUAUACGGUGUGACGCCUGCCCGGUGCCGGAAGGUUAAUUGAUGGGGUUAGCGCAAGCGAAGCUCUUGAUCGAAGCCCCGGUAAACGGCGGCCGUAACUAUAACGGUCCUAAGGUAGCGAAAUUCCUUGUCGGGUAAGUUCCGACCUGCACGAAUGGCGUAAUGAUGGCCAGGCUGUCUCCACCCGAGACUCAGUGAAAUUGAACUCGCUGUGAAGAUGCAGUGUACCCGCGGCAAGACGGAAAGACCCCGUGAACCUUUACUAUAGCUUGACACUGAACAUUGAGCCUUGAUGUGUAGGAUAGGUGGGAGGCUUUGAAGUGUGGACGCCAGUCUGCAUGGAGCCGACCUUGAAAUACCACCCUUUAAUGUUUGAUGUUCUAACGUUGACCCGUAAUCCGGGUUGCGGACAGUGUCUGGUGGGUAGUUUGACUGGGGCGGUCUCCUCCUAAAGAGUAACGGAGGAGCACGAAGGUUGGCUAAUCCUGGUCGGACAUCAGGAGGUUAGUGCAAUGGCAUAAGCCAGCUUGACUGCGAGCGUGACGGCGCGAGCAGGUGCGAAAGCAGGUCAUAGUGAUCCGGUGGUUCUGAAUGGAAGGGCCAUCGCUCAACGGAUAAAAGGUACUCCGGGGAUAACAGGCUGAUACCGCCCAAGAGUUCAUAUCGACGGCGGUGUUUGGCACCUCGAUGUCGGCUCAUCACAUCCUGGGGCUGAAGUAGGUCCCAAGGGUAUGGCUGUUCGCCAUUUAAAGUGGUACGCGAGCUGGGUUUAGAACGUCGUGAGACAGUUCGGUCCCUAUCUGCCGUGGGCGCUGGAGAACUGAGGGGGGCUGCUCCUAGUACGAGAGGACCGGAGUGGACGCAUCACUGGUGUUCGGGUUGUCAUGCCAAUGGCACUGCCCGGUAGCUAAAUGCGGAAGAGAUAAGUGCUGAAAGCAUCUAAGCACGAAACUUGCCCCGAGAUGAGUUCUCCCUGACUCCUUGAGAGUCCUGAAGGAACGUUGAAGACGACGACGUUGAUAGGCCGGGUGUGUAAGCGCAGCGAUGCGUUGAGCUAACCGGUACUAAUGAACCGUGAGGCUUAACCUU
Molecule: ribosomal RNA, 2902 nt
Filed under: Escherichia coli KTE107
Lineage: Bacteria; Pseudomonadati; Pseudomonadota; Gammaproteobacteria; Enterobacterales; Enterobacteriaceae
Description: bacterial LSU rRNA
Rfam family: Bacterial large subunit ribosomal RNA
Source: RNAcentral